This 460-nucleotide ribosomal RNA is filed under the name uncultured bacterium. RNAcentral's name for it is "partial 16S ribosomal RNA". It matches the Rfam family "Bacterial small subunit ribosomal RNA", at positions 338 to 795 of the family's 1533-position model. The record is from RNAcentral.
CCUACGGGAGGCAGCAGUGAGGAAUAUUGGUCAAUGGACGCAAGUCUGAACCAGCCAUGCCGCGUGCAGGAAGACGGCUCUAUGAGUUGUAAACUGCUUUUGUACGAGGGUAAACGCAGAUACGCGUAUCUUUCUGAAAGUAUCGUACGAAUACGGAUCGGCUAACUCCGUGCCAGCAGCCGCGGUAAUCCGGAGGAUUCAAGCGUUAUCCGGAUUUAUUGGGUUUAAAGGGUGCGUAGGCGGUCGGAUAAGUUAGGGGUGAAAUCCUGAGGCUCAACUUCGGAAUUGCCUCUGAUACUGUUCGGCUAGAGAGUAGUUGCGGUAGGCGGAAUGUAUGGUGUAGCGGUGAAAUGCUUAGAGAUCAUACAGAACACCGAUUGCGAAGGCAGCUUACCAAGCUACUUCUGACGUUGAGGCACGAAAGCGUGGGGAGCAAACAGGAUUAGAUACCCGUGUAGUC